RNAcentral lists this ribosomal RNA (498 nucleotides) under uncultured bacterium. RNAcentral describes it as "partial 16S ribosomal RNA". It matches the Rfam family "Bacterial small subunit ribosomal RNA", at positions 30 to 523 of the family's 1533-position model. The record is from RNAcentral.
AUUGAACGCUGGCGGCAUGCCUUACACAUGCAAGUCGAACGGUAACAGGUCUUCGGAUGCUGACGAGUGGCGAACGGGUGAGUAAUACAUCGGAACGUGCCUAGUAGUGGGGGAUAACUACUCGAAAGAGUGGCUAAUACCGCAUGAGAUCUACGGAUGAAAGCAGGGGAUCGCAAGACCUUGUGCUACUAGAGCGGCCGAUGGCAGAUUAGGUAGUUGGUGGGAUAAAAGCUUACCAAGCCGACGAUCUGUAGCUGGUCUGAGAGGACGAUCAGCCACACUGGGACUGGGACACGGCCCGGACUCCUACGGGAGGCAGCAGUGGGGAAUUUUGGACAAUGGGCGAAAGCCUGAUCCAGCAAUGCCGCGUGCAGGAUGGAGGCCUUCGGGUUGUAAACUGCUUUUGUACGGAACGAAAAGCCCCGGGUUAAUACCCUGGGGUCAUGACGGUACCGUAAGAAUAAGCACCGGCUAACUACGUGCCAGCCGCCGCGGUAA